RNAcentral lists this ribosomal RNA (738 nucleotides) under Triticum aestivum (bread wheat). RNAcentral describes it as "partial small subunit ribosomal RNA". The record is from RNAcentral. Lineage: Eukaryota; Viridiplantae; Streptophyta; Magnoliopsida; Poales; Poaceae.
AUGAUCUAUGGAUGCAACGCGCACGUACACAGAUUAGAUGUAUUUUUUCUGGCAGCAGCGUGUAUAUCGAUUUAUUUCUUUACAGUACAUUGUGUAAAGAGUGUUCGUUCUACGAUGCAAUACACAGACGAGUUUUCAGCUUCAAAUCCCAACAACGUCCGGGCCUGCUACUGCUACUCUAGUUGGCUGUCGAGCGCCCGCAAGAAAUGGGGCGACGACCUCUCAGUCGAUGGGGAGGGAGCGCGCGCGCUUUGUAUGGCGCCUUCAUCGACGCGCAGGAACCUCCUGGCCGUCAGGCUGUGCGGCGGCGGAGCGCACAGUGCCGGCCGUGUCGGCGAGGCCGUUCAGGGCGGCCGCGCCGGCUGUGUCGUCGAAGAAAACGCACACGGCGUUCAGGCCCAUGGAGGCGAGCGUCUGCUCGCCCUCAGCCGGGCGCUCGGGCUGCAGUUGGACAUGGACGCAGGGUUGGUUCCACUGUUCCUGUGCGCCACGGUCGGGACGACCCAGAUCGCCGCCGUCGACCCCGUCGGCGAGCUGGGCGCCGUCGCAGCACCACACGGCGUGCGGGCGCACGGGGACGCCGCAUGCGCCGGCUCAGCGCUGAUAUGCCCCGAAUGCACCCGCGUGGAGGCCCCGGCGAAACGGCGUGGAGGCCGUGGAGUCGUUCAGUAUGAACGCCCACAAGUGGCUGGUCUCGAACAAGGCAAGGCAGCAACCACUGCUGCGCCGUGUGGGUGA